Molecule: long non-coding RNA, 7436 nt
Organism: Patella vulgata (common limpet)
Lineage: Eukaryota; Metazoa; Mollusca; Gastropoda; Patellidae
Exons: 7
Source: RefSeq, a predicted model, not a curated record
AAUUUCUACAGCUACAGUUAGGCAACCAGGGAGGAAUGCGCCAGGAUAUGCCCCCUUUUUGACUGGUGAUGCAAGGGCAGAAAUAAUUCUUCAUACAUAUUUUUUUCAAAAAAAAACAAAUAUGGCUUGUGUAGCUGAACAGGGAGCAUAUUGUUUGGUGAUAACAGUAUUAAUGUUUUUGAAAACUGUUAAUGGUGAUGCACAGACGACAGUAUCUUGUGAAUCUAAUACUAAUAUAGGACAGCCACAAACUCUAACAUGUAAUGUAAACGGUCCUGUAACAAAUGAUAUAUAUUGGUUUCGGGAUGAUGAAACUAAUCCUGUUGAUGUAAUUAAUUGUUUUAAAACAACAGGAGGAGAUGUUGGUACAUGUAUAUCUACAAACUCUUCACUUUAUAGUGUCAGUAGUCAACCCCAACAACCAAAACAGCAAGUGUUUACCAUUAUUAAGGUAUCAGCAGAAGAUUUUCAAGUAUCAUGGUUAUGUGUAGAUAGAACUUCUUUUCCAGAUCGAGCUUCAAUCCAGGUUGAGUCAAAAUGUAGUUUAAAACAAGGGUCUGAUUCUGCAUGCAGCAAUUGUUCCUGCAGUUUGAUAGGUGGUCUGGCGUUUAUCUGUGAUUUUGUUUUUGGUUUGGCUGCAUCCACAUUGAUAACAUUUGUUAUUGAAACAGGUCUGAGUACCCCAUUAAAGAUUGGAGUCUUUGUUGUUCCUGCUGUUGCUUCUGGAAUUCUUGGUGGUGGAUCAUAUGGAGCUUGUCUUGUUCUGGUAUCAAUUGGUGGUAUAGUUGGUAUCAAUAUUGCUUGUAUGUUGGUUGUAGUUGCAGGAACAUAUGUAGUUGUUAAAUUCUUUUGUAAAUAAUCUAAAAUGACUGAAAGAUCAAGUGCAUAUAUUCCAAUGAUGAAGAAAUUAAAGACCUACACCAGAAUAAUUCACAUUUAGACAAACUGUCAUUAUUUAAUUAUAGUUGAGUUCGCAUAUUCCAGAAAAAAGAAAAUUUGAAAUAAAAUCCAAAAGUUAAUUUAUUUUAAUAACAAAUUUUUUCUGGGAGUUUUACAAUAUUUAACCCAAACUGUAUAAACAAAAAUAAAAAAAUACAUUUACAUGAUUUAGUUUAAUUACUCUCUAUUUAGAAGAAAAAACAAUUUCCCAAUUAAUCCUGUCUGUUUGGUUGGAUGAGUAUCAGACAUAUUAUUUUAAACUUUGAAUUUUAAUUCAACAUUUUCUUUUUACUGGAAUUUUAAAUUAUUAUAAAACAACUCUACAGACCUACAGCAGAAUUAAUUCUUAUAUUUACAGUAAGUUACAAUACAGUACAGACUUGAAUGAUUGAACAGUUCAUUGGCUAUCAUCACAAGAUCAUGGUUGCUGUACAUGUCAUGUCUUUUUCAACUAUACUAUAUGUUAAUAGGUUGGUCUUUAAACUGUCUAUAUGUUGUCUGCACUAAAUUUUAUUUUUUGAUCUUCAGAGAAACCGGUUAAAAUGUUGCUUCAGAAAAAACAAAUUUACAAGCAAAAAAUCUUUGGUUGCUCUUCUCAAAACCUUUCAAUUCCAAAUUGUGGAUGAUAUUCCCCUGGAUAUUUUAUCAGAAGAACAAAAAAUGAAAUUACCAUGACCACAGCCUACAUGUAUGUGUAUGUAUUUAUAUUUGUUUGAUAAGUAAUUGCUUUAUUAAAUCCUAGCACCUACCAUCUUUCGUCCAUAAAAAUGUAUUUUAUAAGUAAGCCUGUAAAGUGAAACACAUUCAACAAUUAAAAUUAUUUUUUAAUGUUUUAAUCAAUAAUCUUUAUGAUGACAUUUGUUAAUUUGUGCCUUUUUUCACAUUUUUAUGUAGAAAAUAUUCUUGUUAAUUGAUUCCACCCUAUAGUGUAAUUCUUGAGUGUCAUUUAGUGAUUAAGCACAUUAAAACACAACACAAUUUAUAUGGAAUACAAUCACUGGUUUAUACACAUAUUAUAGCACGAGGUUUUGACAAGUAUUCUCUUAUCGUUAUCAAGUACAAAUUAUAAGAGAAUACAUGUAAAAAUGUCGUACUUUUUGUGUAUAAACCAGUGAUUGUAUUCCAUAUAAAUAGUGUUGUUUUUUCACCCUAUAGUGGUUUGAGGUUAUUUUGAUUAGUUUUGCUUUGUUAAAUUUUUAAGAAAUAAGAAUAUUUAAUUCUGAGUGAUUAAUAAUCAACAGAACCUACAAAUAAAGGGAAAAAUAGAAAACCAUCUUUUAAGAGGCAUUAGAACUUUGAUGAUCUUGACAGUUACAUACACCAAGAGUGUAAGCCAACUCAUCCCUGAGAUACAGUGGGCUAAUAAUAUUUGUUAAGAGUCGUAAAUAUUUUAGUCUAGUAGUCGAAGCACCAACCUCUGACUCAGAAAGAAACUGAAAAUGUCAAAAAAAUAAAAUAUAAAGGAAACUCUGAAUCUGGGGAGAAAACUUGAUGGAUCCUCCAAGAUUCCAGUGGAUUGGUUCCCGAAAUGGUCAUGUCCUUAUUUUGCCCCUGUUAGAACCUAAUAAUGUUGUUAAAGAAGUUCAUCCUCUAAGUCAGUGCUAGGAUAUUCAGGGUUAUUACAUCAUAGUAUAUGGUUUGGUUUUUAUUAAAGUCUUUAUAACAAUUGAGUAGAUAUCUUGCCUUUUUCUUGCUUCAAGUUCCAAUAUAUUAACAAGUGAUUAUAAUACCCUCAACCUGCUUCAAGUUUCAAUAUAUUAACAAGUGAUUAUAAUACCCUCAACCUGCUGCAAGUUUCAAUAUAUUAACAAGUGAUUAUAAUACCCUCAACCUGCUGCAAGUUUCAAUAUAUUAACAAGUGAUUAUAAUAACCUCAACCUGCUGCAAGUUUCAAUAUAUUAACAAGUGAUUAUAAUACCCUCAUCCUGCUUCAAGUUUCAAUAUAUUAACAAGUGAUUAUAAUACCCUCAACCUGCUGCAAGUUUCAAUAUAUUAACAAUUGAUUAUAAUACCCUCAACCUGCUGCAAGUUUCAAUAGAUUAACAAUUGAUUAUAAUACCCUCAUCCUGCUUCAAGUUCCAAUAUAUUAACAAUAGAUUAUAAUACCCUCUUCCUGGCGCAAGUUUCAAUAUAUUGUAAUACCAAAUUAAUGUACCCGGUGAUGAUUUUUGAGAGCUCUUAUUCUUCCUCAGUAUUCAGUCAUUGAAAAUAUUUAACAACAUUAUGAAUAAAUUAUAUAUGGAAGCAUGUAUUGUUUUAUUAUAUCAGUCAAAUGAACCAAUUAAAACAUUCAUGCUGAACGCUCGAUUUUCUUUCAUAUUAUUGUGCCAUAUGUAUAUAUAUGUAUAUAUUGAUUGUCAACUUUUUAUAAUCAUAUAUAACAUGAUCUAAAAAUAAUAAUAUUUUUCUUAUUCUUGUAAAAUUACAACUUGCCAUUUGUUUGAUUAUUAUUAGUUAUUUUUAUUCUUAAUGAGAUAAAAAAAAAAACAGAUUAAAAGAAAAAUAAUUUACAUAGGUAACCUUGCAGAAUUGUUUUUAUUUGCUGAAAUUGUAUACUCCACACUGCAGCAUGAUAAUUUACUAUAGUGUGUGUAGAUUUUAUACUGUUAUGUUGGAUUCUCUGAGAUUAUUGGAAAUAUCAGUGAUUUAUCAAGAAAUCUAAAUUUUACAUUUCUGUAAUCUUUUGAUUAAUCAUUUUAUGUUCAGUUUAAAUAAUAGUUUUAUUUCGUAUAAUAUAAAUGAGUAUACAUUAUGACAUUUUAAUUAAUAACAAAAGUAAUUCACAUUAUAUAUUUAUAAUUACAGUCUAAACCUUAUUCAUUACACACUACCCAGUGUAUAACUUUACAGUAUGAUCUAUCUAUGAAAUCUGUAAACUUGUCUGUUCUUUAUGACAAUUAUAGCCUGGUUUAUAUUAUAUGAUGGGAAUAUGGUGUCGGUGUAAAAUGUAUUAUUUUUAAAAUCUUGUUUUUAAGCUAAUAAAAUUUUAAGUUAUGUCCAUCUGAGAACUAAUUGGUUAUUUUUAACAUUCAGUUUUUCAUUCACCCUUCUCAUUAUAAUCAUCCACUGUCUAUGUAUCUAGUGUGCUCUCUGUCUAUCUAGUGUGCUCUAUCUGUCUAUCUUGUGUGCUCUGUCUGGCUAUCUUAUGUGCUCUGUCUGUCUCGUGUGCUCUCUGUCCAUCUGGUUUGCUCUGUCUGUAUUGUGUGCUAGCUGAAAUCUAUUACUGUGACUGUGUGCUCUUUGCUAUCAAUAAAUUCAGCGGUUCCAUUUUCACAGGAUACAAGGAAAUAAGAAAUACAUUAAAAAGUAGAUUGAAGGAAAUUGAAGAUUAUUCUAUCAAAGAUAUAUUUUUAAUGCAUAAAUAUUUUAAAUAUUUGGGAGAAUAUAAUAAAUCUGUUAAAGUAUAUUUAUAGUGAUCAUGCAAUGUUAGCUAUGAUCCUCGUCAAUUCCACAUUGCACAAUAAGAUACUACCUCAGAGGUAAAAUGGCACCAAUUGAGAGGCGGACUGCGGGGGCGAGGGCUGGGUAGGUUUAUAGCAUACAAAAUGGGGAACAGUUGAUCAAACCAAGGACACUUAUUGAUUUAAAGGGCAAUCAAGCCUCACCCUCACCCAAACCUACCCCAUGCUAGUUUUCUCCUUGGAUUCGAAUGUUUCCGAUAAUUUCCUGACGAUUUCGUUUUGGGAAAAGUUGAAGGGCGCGUGGCGACCGCUGCACCAGUUAUCUUUUGUCAAGAAAUUUUGUAAACAACAAAAACAAAUAGUUAAAAAAAAAACCUUAGUCAGUCUUUUAUGUGUGCUUGUAUCAUCAGUACAAUCAUCAACUAUUACACCUGUACAUGUGUGCUGUUUAGCUAGCUUGUGUCCUUUAAUAGUUUCAGUCUUUAUUAGCCCAGUCGGUGCAGAAUAGUAGGACGUUAAACACCAUUUCAUCUGUACAACCAACAUGUAUUAAUCCUGUCUAUGUGUUCUACUAUCAUAUGUACAAUCAAUAUCUAAUAUUCCAUGUCUCGUCUAUAUGACUACUGUUUAUUAGUAGUAAUAGUAUAUAUAUAUGUAUAUAUAAUUGUUGAUAAUAUUGUGUGCUCAUCAUUACUAUAUGUAACUCUGUGUGCUGUUAUCACUAUAAACUAAUGUCAUUUCUAUAGUAUGUACGGAUCAUCGCAUAAUUAAAAUAUGUCUCUUUGGUAGAUGUUUCUCACUAGUAUCUAUCACCACCAUAGCAUGCAUAAUUUAUCACCAUGGUAGCAUGCAUAAUUUAUUUCUGAAAUCCAAUUAAAUAAAUGAUAAGGGGUUUGGUUUGGACAUUUAAACAGAAUGAAAAGUUCAUAUUGGAUCAUUUUGUUUGGAUAUUUGGGAUACAAUGUGUUAUUCAGUACCACAAGACGAAUAUGAUCGAAAGAAAAGUGAGUUUAAAGUAAACUACCUAAACAUGUUAGUUUAUGUGAUGUUAAACUGUACAUAGUAUGUACAACAUACCAACCAAUUAUACGGGAAUUUCAGCUGAAUAUAUAAUUUUAUACACUUGAUGAUUUCCUGUUAUUUAUAUUUAUACCAUAUAAUCUACUGUAUCUUAGGUUUUAAUAUUGAUGUAUAAUAAAACCCUUGUAUAUUCCUGUGUGUAAUAUAUCUGUUUUACUGUAUUAUUGAUAUAUAAUAUAACACUAUACUUAUAUCUUCACUCGUAUAUGCAUCACCCUAUUUAUAAGCAUUACUUUUUAUACACCCAUGUGUGAUGUUGUUCGUCACCUUCGACCGUCAUCCUUUCACUAGUUCCUUUCAACAUUCUACAUGUCAGAUUUUAUGACAGAUUUACUUUUUACAAAUUUUUUAGGGAUUGUUUAAUGACAUAUGGACAGCCCCCCGCCCUUUCGCAUAUUGAAAUUGAGAAUCUUCCGAUAGCAAAUGACAGUUGUCUCCGUGUUUAUCCCAAUCAUUUUAGAGGCAACAGGAACCACCAUUCCACUGAAAUUUUGAGACAAGUUAAAUACACCAUUCAUCUAUGUUUUGGCGCUUACAUUCCAUACGUACACAGACUUUUAUUUCUGACGGUCUGUUAAAAACGGGGUGGUCCCUUUAAUGACGAAUUUGCUGCUAGUGGACGUAAUGUAAAAAAGGCCCCGUCCAUGUUUUUCAAUUAAAUUUGAUUUUGAUUUUUCUGUUAAAUUGCUUGUUUAUUUGUUCUUUUACUUGCUUUAAUCUUUUUAAAUGGCUUGGUAAUUUAAUUUUUAAGUAGCCAAUAUAAGGGUGGUGUUUAUUUACUUAAAGUAAUUAAUAUGUAGAAUAUUUUGAAUUGCUCAACGUGAAAAAAUUGAUCAGCUGUAAAUAAUCUCGAAGGUGCACCUGUUUGUAACUUGGGGUCCAAAUAACACUAUUAAAGAUGCAUUAUGUAAGAUUUACAUAAAGUACUCACCUUUCUUGCUUUAAUGGUUCAAACACAGAUAGUGAAAUAUGAAUAUAUUAAAAAUUUUAGUUAUGAGUGUUUGAAGUUUUAUCAAUAGGCCUACAGUUUUGUUAUCAAUAGGCCUACAGUUUUGAUUGCCAAUUAACAUUGCUGCGAUGAUAACAAAAAAAUGUGUUGAUUAUCCAUUUUUUUUAUGCGCCUACAUGAAAAUUUGGUCGUAUAUUGGCGCAAUCUCCAGCCUUUUUUUGUGAACACCCUACAGACUACAUUUAUCAUUCAAUGUGUAUUAAUUUUAAAUUGGUAAAAUAAAGAAGCCUAUUGAAUUUCAGUAAUUUCCCUUAAUUUCUCCCGGAUUUAUGGCCUUUGUUGAAUUUGUUGAACCCUUUGAACGCUCUAACAACAUAUGAUAUCAUCUGAUCUGUAUGAAAUUUAGAUCAGUGAAACGCUUAAGCCUUUUGAAUUUUAGCAAUUUCUGUUUAUUAUGUCUAAAGUUAUGGCCCUUAUUUUACUUCGUUAAACCUUGUGAACGCUCCAAACCGAAAGUUAUCAUCUGAUCUGUAUGGAAUUUAUACAUAUCAUUUACAUUAGUGAAACGCUGAAAACUAUUGAAUUUCAGCAAUUUCCAUUAAUUACGUCUAGAAUUAUGGCCACUGUUUCACUUCGUUGAACCUUGUGAACGCUCUAACGUCAAAAGUUAUCAUCCAAUCUUUAUGAAAUUUAUAUGCAUUAUUUAAAUUAGUGAAAUGAAAAAGUCUAUUGAAUGUCAACAAUUUCUGUAAAUUAGUUUCAGAGUUAGGACCCUUGUUUCAGUUUGUAGAACCUUGUGAAUGCUCUAACAACAAAAUUAUAAUCUUAUCUGUAUAAAAUUGUGUUGUAAAUGUCCCCAAUUAUUUACAAAAGAAUGCAUGUUUGACAAAAUGCAUCUUUAACUGACUCAGAUAAUAAAAUAUCUUUUAAGAACCAGAUAAAACAUGUGGAAACUGUAUUAUUCACAAAUUUUUGUAUUAGUGAGCAGGCAUAUUAUUAUUAUUAUUACAUGUUGUGUAUUAUUGUAUUUAUACCUGGUGAUAUAGCUAUUAAAACUUCUCUCUCUA